This 585-nucleotide ribosomal RNA is filed under the name uncultured bacterium. RNAcentral describes it as "partial 16S ribosomal RNA". It matches the Rfam family "Bacterial small subunit ribosomal RNA", at positions 355 to 1375 of the family's 1533-position model. The record is from RNAcentral.
UGGGGAAUUUUGGACAAUGGGCGAAAGCCUGAUCCAGCAAUGCCGCGUGUGUGAAGAAGGCCUUCGGGUUGUAAAGCACUUUUGUCCGGAAAGAAGUCCUUGGCUCUAAUACAGUCGGGGGAUGACGGUACCGGAAGAAUAAGCACCGGCUAACUACGUGCCAGCAGCCGCGGUAAUACGUAGGGUGCAAGCGUUAAUCGGAAUUACUGGGCGUAAAGCGUGCGCAGGCGGUUUGCUAAGACCGAUGUGAAAUCCCCGGGCUCAACCUGGGAACUGCAUUGGUGACUGGCAGGCUAGAGUAUGGCAGAGGGGGGUAGAAUUCCACGUGUAGCAGUGAAAUGCGUAGAGAUGUGGAGGAAUUCCGAUGGCGAAGGCAGCCCCCUGGGCCAAUACUGACGCUCAUGCACGAAAGCGUGGGGAGCAAACAGGAUUAGAUACCCUGGUAGUCCACGCCCUAAACGAUGUCAACUAGUUGUUGGGGAUUCAUUUCCUUAGUAACGUAGCUAACGCGUGAAGUUGACCGCCUGGGGAGUACGGUCGCAAGAUUAAAACUCAAAUGAAUUGACGGGGUCAUAGCUGUUUCCU